RNAcentral lists this transfer RNA (75 nucleotides) under Candidatus Daviesbacteria bacterium RIFCSPHIGHO2_01_FULL_38_8. RNAcentral's name for it is "tRNA-Lys". It matches the Rfam family "tRNA". Rfam says of the family: Transfer RNA (tRNA) molecules are approximately 80 nucleotides in length. The record is from RNAcentral. Lineage: Bacteria; Candidatus Daviesiibacteriota.
GGGCCGGUAGCUCAGCGGUAGAGCAGUAGACUCUUAAUCUAUUGGUCGUGGGUCCAAAUCCCACCCGGCUCACUA